UGAGUUCCUGCGUGUGUGACUUCAGGCGUGUGUGUGUGUGUGUUUGUGUGUGUGUUGGAAUGGGGGUGGGGGGCGGUCCUGGAAAGGCCGAGAGCCUUGGAAUCUGAGGAGUCUGCAGCCCAUUCUUGAUACUGCUUUACUUUCCAAAAAGUUAUGACAACAAAACCACCCUGGGGCCCAGACCUGGAAGCCGUCAGCUAUGGAGGACCCUGGAAGCAGGCAGAGAAAGGUUUGGAGUUUUCAGUGCGAUGACACCAGCGUGCCUGCGGAAGUGGCUGUGUCUCCUCUUGCCUCCUUCCCCACCCAAUUCCGCCCCAGGAGCCCAGGGAUGGAGGCCCAGGAGACGGAUCCCACAAGAGCCAGCACCCACUCCACCCCAGGAGCUCAGCAAACAUCCACAGAGUGAACAUUCCAAGCAACAUAGUCCAGGAGCCACGUUCCAGCCAUGGGGCCUCUGCACUGCUGUUCUCUUCACAUGGCCUGCCCUUCCCCCAGAAAGAGAGAAGAGGCCCUCUCUGGUUGUCCCAUCAAAACUCCACCCUUCUCUCACCCUCCUCCCAGCUGUAUCCCUUCUCUGCAGCCCUAACAUGCAUUCCACUUU
This is a long non-coding RNA of Homo sapiens (human), 601 nucleotides long. Lineage: Eukaryota; Metazoa; Chordata; Mammalia; Primates; Hominidae. The record is from Ensembl.